Molecule: non-coding RNA, 920 nt
Filed under: Microhyla berdmorei (Pegu rice frog)
Lineage: Eukaryota; Metazoa; Chordata; Amphibia; Anura; Microhylidae
Description: partial small subunit ribosomal RNA
Rfam family: Bacterial small subunit ribosomal RNA
Source: RNAcentral
UUAUCAUCAGCUUACCCCUAACUUACACAUGCAAGUAUCAGCACGCCCGUGAGAACGCCCUUAAACCUUAUUAGGACAAGGAGCCGGUAUCAGGCACAGACUAUCUAGCCCAUGACACCUAGCUUUGCCACUCCCUCAAGGGUAUUCAGCAGUGAUUAACAUUGUUUAUAAGCGCCAGCUUGAAUCAGUUAAGGGGCACAGAGCCGGCCAAUACGGUGCCAGCCGCCGCGGCUACACCGCUAGGCUCAAGUUGAUAUUAUGCGGCGUUAAGCGUGUUUAAAGUGCUAAAGAGAUUAAAAUUAAAAUAUAACUAAGCUGGUACCCGCUUGGUAAUAAGAAAAACAAAUACCAAAGUUAUUCCAACCCAUCCCCUUGAACCCCCGACAGCUAAAAAACCAACUGGGAUUAAGUACCCCACUAUGCCUAACCGUAAAAUAUUUAUUUACACCUUUAACCGCCCGGGAAUUACGAGCCCAAGCUUAAAACCCAAAGGACUUGACGGUGUCCCACCCACCUAGAGGAGCCUGUUCUAUAAUCGAUUCUCCCCGAUAUACCUCACCGUUUCUAGCUUUUCAGCCUGUAUACCUCCGUCGUAAGCUUACCCUAUGAACGCUUUUUAGUGAGCUAAAAGAUCUUCACAUAAAUACGUCAGGUCAAGGUGCAGCCUACGAAACGGCAAGAAAUGGGCUACAAUUUCUACAAUAGAACACAACGAAAGACUACAUGCAACUUAGUCAUGAAGGCGGAUUUAGUAGUAAAAAGAAAAUAGAGAGUUCUUUUAAAUUAGGCGCUGGGACGCGUACACACCGCCCGUCACCCUCUUCAAACGCUUACAACCAGUCUAUAACAAAUUUUUGCACUACAGAAGAGGUAAGUCGUAACAUGGUAAGCGUACUGGAAAGUGCGCUUGGAAUAACAAA